RNAcentral lists this ribosomal RNA (310 nucleotides) under uncultured bacterium. RNAcentral describes it as "partial 16S ribosomal RNA". It matches the Rfam family "Bacterial small subunit ribosomal RNA", at positions 503 to 809 of the family's 1533-position model. The record is from RNAcentral.
AAGAGACAGCAGUCGCCGCGGUAAUACGGAGGGUGCGAGCGUUAAUCGGAAUUACUGGGCGUAAAGCGUACGCAGGCGGUUUGUUAAGUCAGAUGUGAAAUCCCCGAGCUUAACUUGGGAACUGCAUUUGAAACUGGCAAGCUAGAGUCUUGUAGAGGGGGGUAGAAUUCCAGGUGUAGCGGUGAAAUGCGUAGAGAUCUGGAGGAAUACCGGUGGCGAAGGCGGCCCCCUGGACAAAGACUGACGCUCGGGUGCGAAAGCGUGGGGAGCAAACAGGAUUAGAUACCCGGGUAGUCCCUGUCUCUUAUAU